CCCAUUUCCCCUGACUCAGAGAUUCAGGUCAAUGUUACAGAAUGGUAUCGACUUGAGCACUGUCGAUGUUAGCUAUGUGCGCAGCCGUUCAUGCAAUUGAAUUGAUGACACACAAAGAAUGACGCAAAUGGGUGUAUUUGGUUUUGAUGCAUAAAAGAGUUUGAGCGCUGAGAAGGAUGGUCUUGACAUUAUUCAACAUGGAUGGGCUUUACCGCAAUUUGAGCACCGCGCAGACACCGUU
Brassica oleracea var. oleracea is the source of this 241-nucleotide long non-coding RNA. RefSeq lists it as uncharacterized. The transcript is spliced from 3 exons. The record is from RefSeq and is a predicted model, not a curated record. NCBI's taxonomy places the organism in Eukaryota, Viridiplantae, Streptophyta, Magnoliopsida, Brassicales, Brassicaceae.